Molecule: long non-coding RNA, 907 nt
Organism: Planococcus citri (citrus mealybug)
Lineage: Eukaryota; Metazoa; Arthropoda; Insecta; Hemiptera; Pseudococcidae
Exons: 3
Source: RefSeq, a predicted model, not a curated record
UCGUACGUCUUUUUUCUUGGAAAUUAUUCCGGUAAGUGUAAAUUUAUCUGUCGAGUGGUGUUCUUCGUAAAUUCGUUCUUACGUUAAGAUCUUGUGUGGUGUGAGCCGUGUGAGUCAUGUGUCAACGACCGUUGAAAUUACGUUAUGAAUGGUUCUAUUUCCGGUUUUUUUACUACUGACUGACGAUGGUAAUACAUUAUUGUGCGUGUGACCUAGAAUAGUCUAGUUCUGGCGUCAAGCAGUCUGGACAAGAUGUCGAGUUUUCAUUUCCGGCAACCAUCAGUUGAAAUAUUUAAUUUUCGUAAUUUUUCAAUCAUUUGUUUUCUGUUCGCGUAUUUUGAUGAGGGGAUUUUAUUUUUUCAGUUUAACGAGUAAAUUAGUGCGAAUGUUUUGAUGACUUACUCGCCUUAGGCUAUAGUUAUUUUUUCGAUAGCUAGAUGUAGAUUGCAUUGAUAUUCGUAACUUGUAAGCAUAGGUAUUUUCAUUCGAGACUCGUGCUAAUUAUUGUUCUGUUUGUGUUUAGAAUCGAUCGGCGCAUUUGAUUGAUCUUUUAACGGAUUUUGGCUACCAACGUUGGUAUGAAAGUGUUUCCUUAACCGAUGCAGAAGAAUCAAGUUAGAAAAUGAAGAUCAACUCAUCGUGUGUGUACGAGUACGACUGAAAGAAGAUACAUAUUUUACGGAGACUCGACGCUUUUGAAUUUGAUCGAUCUUCAACGGAUUUCGGCGCACCUGUUAUGAACGAAGAUCAUUGAACGUCUGUGUAGUCAAAGCUUGCGAAUUUUAGCUAUUUAUCUAGCUGAGGUUACGAUUGUACGUGCUCAUUACUCUUAAUCGUCGAGCUGUUAUAUUUUCAGCAUCAUGGUUCCAGUCCACAAUCACGAUUGAACUUCGCACAGGUAGCUCAA